This 481-nucleotide ribosomal RNA is filed under the name Hourangia dilatata. Its description in RNAcentral is "partial large subunit ribosomal RNA". It matches the Rfam family "Eukaryotic large subunit ribosomal RNA", at positions 107 to 582 of the family's 3401-position model. Lineage: Eukaryota; Fungi; Basidiomycota; Agaricomycetes; Boletales; Boletaceae. The record is from RNAcentral.
GCUCAAAUUUUGAAUCUGGCGGUCUGAAUGGGCGUCCGAGUUGUAAUCUAGAGAAGCGUCUUCUAGCGCUGUCCGUGUACAAGUCUCCUGGAAGGGAGCGUCAUAGAGGGUGAGAAUCCCGUCUUUGACACGGGGAAGCAGUGCGUUGUGAUUCGCUCUCGAAGAGUCGAGUUGUUUGGGAAUGCAGCUCAAAUCGGGUGGUAAAUUCCAUCUAAAGCUAAAUACAGGCGAGAGACCGAUAGCGAACAAGUACCGUGAGGGAAAGAUGAAAAGAACUUUGAAAAGAGAGUUAAACAGUACGUGAAAUUGCUGAAAGGGAAACGCUUGAUGUCAGUCGCGUCCUCCAGGGAUCAACCUUGCUUCAUCGCUCGGUGCAUUUCUUGGUAGGACGGGUCAGCAUCAGUUUCGCUUCGUCGUACAACGUCCGAGGGAACGUGGCACCUCUCGGGGUGUGUUAUAGCCCUCAUUCGUAUGUGUCGAA